AUUGAACGCUGGCGGCAGGCCUAACACAUGCAAGUCGAGCGGAGGAAGGGAGCUUGCUCCUGGAUUCAGCGGCGGACGGGUGAGUAAUGCCUAGGAAUCUGCCUGGUAGUGGGGGAUAACGUCCGGAAACGGGCGCUAAUACCGCAUACGUCCUGAGGGAGAAAGUGGGGGAUCUUCGGACCUCACGCUAUCAGAUGAGCCGAGGUCGGAUUAGCUAGUUGGUGGGGUAAAGGCCUACCAAGGCGACGAUCCGUAACUGGUCUGAGAGGAUGAUCAGUCACACUGGAACUGAGACACGGUCCAGACUCCUAGGGGAGGCAGCAGUGGGGAAUAUUGGACAAUGGGCGAAAGCCUGAUCCAGCCAUGCCGCGUGUGUGAAGAAGGUCUUCGGAUUGUAAAGCACUUUAAGUUGGGAGGAAGGGCAGUAAGUUAAUACCUUGCUGUUUUGACGUUACCAACAGAAUAAGCACCGGCUAACUUCGUG
RNAcentral lists this ribosomal RNA (484 nucleotides) under uncultured bacterium. RNAcentral describes it as "partial 16S ribosomal RNA". It matches the Rfam family "Bacterial small subunit ribosomal RNA", at positions 30 to 507 of the family's 1533-position model. The record is from RNAcentral.